RNAcentral lists this ribosomal RNA (250 nucleotides) under uncultured bacterium. RNAcentral's name for it is "partial 16S ribosomal RNA". It matches the Rfam family "Bacterial small subunit ribosomal RNA", at positions 524 to 776 of the family's 1533-position model. The record is from RNAcentral.
UACGUAGGGGCAAGCGUUGUCCGGAUUAUUGGGCGUAAAGAGCGUGUAGGCGGCUGGGUAGGUCCGUUGUGAAAACUCGAGCUCAACCUCGAGACGCCGAUGGAAACCCUCCAGCUAGAGUCCGGAAGAGGAGAGUGGAAUUCCUGGUGUAGCGGUGAAAUGCGCAGAUAUCAGGAAGAACACCCGUGGCUAAGGCGGCUCUCUAGUACGGUACUGACGCUGAGACGCGAAAGCGUGGGGAGCGAACAGG